AUAAUUUAUGAAUAAUGAAAAAGCUGACACUGAAAUCUCAAAAAAUCUUCCAUUUCUCUUGAAGAAUAGGGUGAAGAUUCUUAAGAGUAGUGUCUCUGUCACUCCUGCUGUUGAAAAAAUCUCCAUGAUCUUCUUUGAGAAAAAGGACCUUCACCUAACUCAAUGUGGUCUGAAGUGCCUGCAAAAACUUUGAUUCCAACUUUUUUUUCAUCAUUUAAAUCUUGAAUGGGAACACAUACGGAAGUGAACAUAAUUGUGACUUGACACUUUUAAUUUUAAUUGGAAUGCUAGAUGAAAAACUAAUCAAGGAAAUCCAGGAGGCUUCUCCCAUUUCUGAAGAACUAUCUAGAGAUGUUUGGAACCACAGUUGCUUUUGAUCUGUGCCAUUUUGAGCCUUCUUUGAUGAAUGAUGUCAAAUGUCUUUUUUCUUUCACUCCCUUUGAAGAACCAUGCCAUUAUUCAUCAAAGCCCAAUUCAACCCUGAUGUUUUCUUCCAAUAUGUGUGCCAAGAAGAGAUCUGGAUGUUGGAUAAGUGCCUCUCUUUAUUCUAAGUGUGGGAGGGGAUUUAAAUUAUCUUGAAAAAGAGCUCCACAACUUUUCUACAUUUGGGGAAGCCUCAGCAAUGAGCAAUUACCAGUAAUUUUUUUGUUAUAUAUCCUAAAACAUUCAGUUUCAUUGCAUUAAUGCAAUUUACUGUAAGGUGCAAUUUUACUCAUAAUUUAAGAAAAAUGCCAAGGAAUGACAGAGUUAUUUUGUAAAAACUCUCCUCUCAUUCAUGUGGGGAUACUUCAUUUGUUUGGAAAGAACAUAUGUCUUUGAUGCUUUUCCCUCUCCCCUCACCCAAUCGUGGAUGAAGCAAGCUCACUUGGAUGGAAUUGCUUGCUCUCUUCCUUCUCAUUCAAGAAACCUUCUGAAACUUCAUUUCUUCAUUGUGGUGGAACAACUCCAAUUUCCUGGAUAUUAUAAAUUCAACCCCAGGCCUGGCGCAGUGGCUCACGCCUGUAAUCACAGCACUUUGGGAGGCCAAGGCAGGUGGAUCAUGAGGUCAAGAGAUCGAAACAAUCCUGGCCAACAUGGUGAAACCACGUUCCUGCUAAAAAUACAAAAAUUAGCUGGGCUUGGUGGUGUGAGCCUGUAG
This 1138-nucleotide long non-coding RNA is filed under the name Pan troglodytes (chimpanzee). RNAcentral's name for it is "lncRNA (ENSPTRG00000053879.1)". Lineage: Eukaryota; Metazoa; Chordata; Mammalia; Primates; Hominidae. The record is from RNAcentral.